Non-coding RNA from Peromyscus maniculatus bairdii (prairie deer mouse), 2169 nucleotides. The record is from RefSeq and is a predicted model, not a curated record. Lineage: Eukaryota; Metazoa; Chordata; Mammalia; Rodentia; Cricetidae.
GUGCGGAGCCACGUGACGGUUGUGUUGCUAACCGAGCUUGGAGGCCUGGGUGCGCGCGUGCGCAGUGAACGCAAGCCCCACCCACCCAUCCUAGGCGCCCGCGGGCCCAUUGUGGUACCCUCUCUGACUCGCCUUGCUGGCGUUGUCCCGGUCGUCUGGCCGAAACCAUUUGGUUAGCCACGGUCUCAGGACGGCCGCUCCGGACCUACAGACCGCCCCGGCGCCGGGCUGCUGCGAGCAAGGACACCCGCUGACCAUGCCCUGCCCUGAGAGACUCCGUUUUGAGGAUGGAGACUAAGAAUGUACUUGAGCACACAGGGCUUUCACCUGGGCAAUGUGCAGAACGUGUAACCAGCAAUUUAAUCUCGGGUCAGAGGGGAGAUCUCUGUCCCCUCCACGCACGCUCCAUAUAAGGAAGGCAGCUGCCCUGGGAUUAGGAGAGUGGCAUUUUUAUUAUGUUCUGGGACUGGAGGACCAAAGACGUUCCUGGAGUAAAAUUAGCACAUCUGUGCUCUGUGGUGGAGGAGCCCAACAGGAAUCUGUUGUCAGAGGUGCCCGAGGUCUGAGAUGUCUCCAGGCAGAAAAGAUCUCAAUGCUGAAGGACAAACACAUACAUUACUAAAAUUAGCACUUUACACAGUGAGUCAGCCGCCAGCGUGGUAGCCAGGGGUUGCCAGCUUCACAAUAAUCGACUGUUGUGAUCACUGGAGAGAGAGCUCUCCUCAAGCAGAACUCACCUAAAUGCACAAAACAUCAGGAGAGGUCCAGGCCGUCAGAGAACAGGAGCCACCUCUUCUGGCAGACAAGCAUUACAGCAACACGUGAGAGUCGGGAAGAAACCCACCCGCUAAUCCUCCCUUCUGAGAUACGCUUUCUGAUCCUUUGUCUGAGAGCGUGUUCCCCUACUGUUGAAAUGUUUAUUGGUUGAUUAAUUGUCCCACUAUGGAAGAACAAAGCAUGGUGGUCUUUUGACAUAAAUGGUCAGACAGCUAGAAUAGGGAGUGUCAGGGGGAAAUGUCUGCAAGAAAUGAAAUAAAAUGGUUCAUUUCUAAGUCAAAAUACUCAGUUAGUUUAGGAAGAGCCACCAAAGAACAGGAAAUGCUGGCCACCUACUGGCAGCUUGCCAAACUUGCUAUCCCAGCUCAAACUCCACUAAUACCCUCUUCACCAUCAAAACUAAAAAUUAAACCAGGCAAUGGUAGAGCAUGCCUUUGACCCCAGCACUCGGGAGGCAGUGGUAGGCAGAUCUCUGAGUUCGAGGCCAGCCUGGUCUACAAAGUGAAUUCCAGGACAGCCAAGGUUACAUAGAGAAACCCUGUCCAAGAAACAAAAAACAAACAACAAACAAAAAAACCCAAAAAUUUAGAGUAAAAGAUUAUUAACGGCAAAGCUUGCCCUGCAGAUGGACAAUGUCAUAUGGCUAUCAGCUUUAACAUAAGCGGCAUAUAAAACACAGAGAUGAAUCCAUGCAUAGUGGUCGUCAAGAAAGAAACGAGUGGCAGAGGGAACGGUAAGACCUGGAUGGCACGUAAGAUUGUACCUGCCUUGUUACUCAGUCAGCGAGGAAAAAGAAGGGACCUGUGUUAGCGUUGUAAAUACGGAUCUCUGUGCUCAAUUGGUGCGCCCACCAUUGUGGUCUGAUGCCCAGUUUACGAAGUUGGAAAAUCAGCUACUGAGUCUCCAGGGGUCUUUUUAUGGAGUGUGAGGAGGGUCCUGGUUCCCAGUGAUGCUUUGGGGAAUCUCAAUUCAGUGGGCCUUUGAUCCCAAGCUCCUGUACUCCAGAGAAAGGGACUGCAUCAGAGACACGUGCUUAGACUAGAAAUAAAGACACUGACUAAGAAAGGAAAAGCACUCCCAGGAGUGGAAGUUGGCCAGUGUGCUGAGGAAGAGCUGGAGCACAGACCCAUGUGGUGUGGAUCCUCUCAAACACACUUCAUAGCCCCCUCUCCUGUCCCGUUCAUGGGCUCCCAUGCCAUCCCCUACCCACUAGCUGACGGAGAGACAAAGGCAGGUAAAACAAAGGGUGUGCAGUCUUGCUCUAAAAACUGGGUUAUUUGGGGUUGGAGAGAUGGCUCAGCAGUUGAGAGCACUGGCUGCUCUUAGAGGACCCAGGUUCAAUUCCCAGCACCCACAUGGCAGCUCACAACUGUCUGUAACUCCAGUUCCAGG